UACGUAGGGGGCAAGCGUUGUCCGGAUUUAUUGGGCGUAAAGGGCGCGUAGGCGGGCUGCCAAGUCUGGGGUGAAAUCCCACGGCUCAACCGUGGAACUGCCUCGGAUACUGGCGGUCUCGAGGGAGGUAGGGGCAUGCGGAACUGUGGGUGGAGCGGUGAAAUGCGUUGAUAUCCACAGGAACUCCGGUGGCGAAAGCGGCGUGCUGGACCUCUUCUGACGCUGAGGCGCGAAAGCUAGGGGAGCAAACGGG
Molecule: ribosomal RNA, 253 nt
Filed under: uncultured bacterium
Lineage: Bacteria
Description: partial 16S ribosomal RNA
Rfam family: Bacterial small subunit ribosomal RNA
Source: RNAcentral